RNAcentral lists this ribosomal RNA (540 nucleotides) under uncultured bacterium. RNAcentral describes it as "partial 16S ribosomal RNA". It matches the Rfam family "Bacterial small subunit ribosomal RNA", at positions 355 to 883 of the family's 1533-position model. The record is from RNAcentral.
UGGGGAAUUUUGGACAAUGGGCGCAAGCCUGAUCCAGCAAUGCCGCGUGCGGGAAGAAGGCCUUCGGGUUGUAAACCGCUUUUGGCAGGAACGAAACGGUGUCCGCUAAUACCGGGCGCUAAUGACGGUACCUGCAGAAUAAGCACCGGCUAACUACGUGCCAGCAGCCGCGGUAAUACGUAGGGUGCGAGCGUUAAUCGGAAUUACUGGGCGUAAAGCGUGCGCAGGCGGUUGUGUAAGACAGGCGUGAAAUCCCCGGGCUCAACCUGGGAAUGGCGCUUGUGACUGCACGGCUGGAGUGCGGGCAGAGGGGGGUAUGGGAAAUUUCCGCGUGUAGCAGUGAAAUGCGUAGAUAUGCGGAGGAACACCGAUGGCGAAGGCAAUCCCCUGGGCCUGACUGACGCUCAUGCACGAAAGCGUGGGGAGCAAACAGGAUUAGAUACCCUGGUAGUCCACGCCCUAAACGAUGUCGACUGGUUGUUGGGUCUUAGGUGACUCAGUAACGAAGCUAACGCGUGAAGUCGACCGCCUGGGGAGUAC